Molecule: long non-coding RNA, 1098 nt
Filed under: Parus major (Great Tit)
Lineage: Eukaryota; Metazoa; Chordata; Aves; Passeriformes; Paridae
Description: lncRNA (ENSPMJG00000014592.1)
Source: RNAcentral
ACUGGAACACACAUUAUGUGCUGCCUCAAGCAUAACUUCAGUACUCAGAAAAGGUACAGUACCUGACUUCAACAGAGGUUCCAGAAUUCCCAGCAUCUCAGUUGAUCUGUGAAUAUUGUUCUGCCAGAAGUACUUGCCAGGUCAGAGAAGUAGUUACAAGGGGCUGCAUUAGCAGAGCUACUGAUAGAAACAGGGCCAGGAGACCUUCUUCUCCUGUUUUAAAGCCUUUAUUAGGAAUGAGCUUGGGGGGGGGGGGGCCCGACGGGUCGCGCGCACACCGCCGUUGCUCCCUGAAGCGACUCAGAAGAGGAGGAAUGCAGCUAUACCUACGGGGUGCAAAGUAGGCAAAGAUGGGAUCUCCGCCCUCACGGGUAUACCCGGUGUCCCUUUAUUGGCUCGAGAGUCCAGGGGUGUCAUCUCUAACCAGUCUCUCCCCGGUCAGGGCGAGGAAAGCGGAGUUGAUCGGGUUUUUCGUCCGAGGUGGUGUUUCUUGGCGGCUGAUUUGCAUAAGCCCCGAUCGCCAUCUUGGGAAGUCUCUACCUUCGGCCGUCACUUCGGGAAGUCUCCAGUCGCCAUGUUGCCAUGCCGGGAAACCUCCAACCGCAAUCGUCAUGUGGGCCGCCGAACCACGAUCGCCGUGCGGGCCGCCGAACUCCGGCCGCUGCGCCGGGCCGCCGGACCAGGCCGCUGCACCGGGCCGCCGCACCAGGCUGCUGCACCGGGCUGCCGCAUCGGGCCGCCGUACUGGGCCGCUGCACCGGGCCGCCGCAUCGGGCCGCCGCAUCAGGCUGCUGCACCGGGCCGCCGGCUCAGGCCGCCGCACCGGGCCACUGCAUCGGGCUUGCUGUACCAGGCGGUUCCUUAACAGGAGCAACAAGGAACCGCCCACCAUGAAACCUGGAAUAGGAACGUCUCGAAACCUGGAACAAAGGCUGCAAAAGAACCUGGAACAAGAACAUCUUGGAACCUGGAACAGAGCCUGACAAAGAACUUGAAAAGCAUGGACUGCAGGUCCUGAGGCUGUGAGCGGAAAAACACAAGAAGAGUGGAGCCUGGAGUAUAUCCUAAUGGAAAGGUCAGCCCAAGAAGAGGAAUGGU